This 605-nucleotide ribosomal RNA is filed under the name uncultured bacterium. Its description in RNAcentral is "bacterial SSU rRNA". It matches the Rfam family "Bacterial small subunit ribosomal RNA", at positions 888 to 1498 of the family's 1533-position model. The record is from RNAcentral.
GCAAGAUUAAAACUCAAAGGAAUAGACGGGGACCCGCACAAGUGGUGGAGCAUGUGGUUUAAUUCGAAGAUACGCGAAGAACCUUACCUAGCCUUGACAUUGAUAGAAUCUUCCAGAGAUGGAGGAGUGCCUUUCGGGGAACUUGAAAACAGGUGCUGCACGGCUGUCGUCAGCUCGUGUCGUGAGAUGUUGGGUUAAGUCCCGCAACGAGCGCAACCCUCGUCACUAGUUACUAACAGUUAGGCUGAGGACUCUAGUGAGACUGCCUUCGUAAGGAGGAGGAAGGUGAGGACGACGUCAAGUCAUCAUGGCCCUUACGGCUAGGGCAACACACGUGCUACAAUGGUUAGGACAGUGAGAAGCGAUACCGCGAGGUGGAGCCAAUCUAUAAACCUAAUCUCAGUUCGGAUUGUAGUCUGCAACUCGACUACAUGAAGCUGGAAUCACUAGUAAUCGUAGAUCAGCUAUGCUACGGUGAAUACGUUCCCGGAUCUUGUACUCACCGCCCGUCACACCAUGGGAGUUGAUUUCACCCGAAGCGGGGAAGCUAAACUGGCUACCCUCCACGGUGGAAUUAGCGACUGGGGUGAAGUCGUAACAAGGUA